GAAUUAGCGAUGAAACAAGGUGCCUUUGAUUCACAUCAAGGGAUAACAGGGAAUCGGGUGCAACUCCCGAGCGGUCCCGCCACUGUAAGGAAGAGCCAGCUUUCAACAGGUCACUCGGUUGCUCCGGGGAAGACGAAGGCCAGCGAUGAUCCCGAGCCAGGAGACCUACCUUGUUUGCGCACACACG
RNAcentral lists this non-coding RNA (187 nucleotides) under Paenibacillus graminis. Lineage: Bacteria; Bacillati; Bacillota; Bacilli; Caryophanales; Paenibacillaceae. The record is from RNAcentral. RNAcentral also lists the same sequence under 1 other name.